UACGUAGGGUGCGAGCGUUGUCCGGAAUUAUUGGGCGUAAAGAGCUCGUAGGCGGUUUGUCGCGUCUGCUGUGAAAACCUAAGGCUCAACCUCGGGCCUGCAGUGGGUACGGGCAGACUAGAGUGCGGUAGGGGAGAUUGGAAUUCCUGGUGUAGCGGUGGAAUGCGCAGAUAUCAGGAGGAACACCGAUGGCGAAGGCAGAUCUCUGGGCCGUAACUGACGCUGAGGAGCGAAAGCAUGGGGAGCGAACAGG
This 253-nucleotide ribosomal RNA is filed under the name uncultured bacterium. Its description in RNAcentral is "partial 16S ribosomal RNA". It matches the Rfam family "Bacterial small subunit ribosomal RNA", at positions 524 to 776 of the family's 1533-position model. The record is from RNAcentral.